Molecule: long non-coding RNA, 528 nt
Organism: Telopea speciosissima
Lineage: Eukaryota; Viridiplantae; Streptophyta; Magnoliopsida; Proteales; Proteaceae
Exons: 3
Source: RefSeq, a predicted model, not a curated record
ACCUAAGACUGCUGGCAGUCCAUGAUAGAUAGUUUGUGUUCUUUGGACAGUGAUGUGUCAAUAAGCUCGUCAAUCUGACUUCUACAGGCAUGGGAUGGAGCAGUGUUCUUGAACUAGCAGGAGUGCCAUUGCUGUUGACCAUUUAACAGUUCAAGCAACUCAUUUGUUGUGAGUAAAGGUCAAUGGGAAUAUCUAAAGCCAUCAAACUUGGGCUUCAUUGGUUGAUAUCAGAAGAUAUACUCUUUGUAGGAUUCUGAUUAUGGGUGGCAUGGGGAGAGGGUUAGAGUAUCAAUAGUACAUCCAUCAUCCAUGACGAUUGACUGAUUGAGGAGCCUUCCCAUGCCAUAUUUCAUCAGAUAACGCAGGCAUAAGACAUAAAAAGAAGUAGGUGUUUGGAACUGGUCAACAUACAUUCCCUGACUGCAAUGUUGACCAUAAGCUCUCUCUCUCUCUCUCUCCGUCUCGGGAAAGAAACCCAGUAGCGAUUUCUUUGUGUGAUUGACCUGCUCAGGCGAAUCUACAAAAGGC